UGUUCCCAUCCCCUAAACCCUGGUGGCCCUGUGUUUAAGUGGAAAAGGUAGCUGAAUGGGGCAGGGGGAGUACUAUUGAUAAUAAUCUUUAAAAGACAUGGAAAAGCUGAAAGUUGGUUUUUUUUUUUUUUUUUUUUUUUAAUCUUUUCCCCUAGGGAACUCUGAGAGAAAAUAGCUUCACGGCUUCCCAAUAUAAAGCUGGAGUGACUGUAAUAAUGCUGGAAGGUGAUUUCAUGUAUUUAAUAAAAGAGAGGGUCUGGAAAGUUCCCUUCCUCAAUUUCCCCACAAUUUUUACCAGACAUAGAAGCGGUCCAGAGGAUCCCAGGAGACCUUGCAGAGAGAGUAGAAGGUGACUGCCUCCCUGGGAUGGUCACGGUCUCUCCUAGAGGCUUGUCUAAAUGGAAAAAUGCAAUGGGGAUACCUCUAAGUAUUCCAGAAACAUCUAUAAGGUCCUUGAUGUCAUCUGAAUACAAAGAGCAAAUGGAGAAAGGAAAAGAAGAUUAAUUAUGUAAUUUUAUGGAGCAGGACCAGAGUGCUAAAUAUCACUUCUGUCUACAUUCUAUUGGCUAAAAUUCAAUAGAAAGAAAAAAAGCUUAAAAGAGAAAAAAAAUGUACCAUAGAGGGAGUUCCCGUCAUGGCGCAGUGGUUAACGAAUCCGACUAGGAACCAUGAGGUCGCGGGUUCGGUCCCUGCCCUUGCUCAGUGGGUUAACGAUCUGGCGUUGCCGUGAGCUGUGGUGUAGGUUGCAGACGCGGCUCGGAUCCCGCGUUGCUGUGGCUCUGGCGUAGGCCGGUGGCUACAGCUCCGAUUCAACCCCUAGCCUGGGAACCUCCAUAUGCUGUGGGAGUGGCCAAGAAAUGGCAAAAAGAAAAAAGAAUGUACCAUAGAAAAGAGCUAUAUUUUGCUCUUAAGAAAAUUAAAGGUGGACAUCAUCAUAUAAUCCUGAUGGAUGAUUACAAGUCAUGGAAUUGUCCUUAAACAUCUUUGGCUUUUUACAGACUCAAAGAUUUCAAAACCAAACUUAG
This 1025-nucleotide long non-coding RNA is filed under the name Sus scrofa (pig). RNAcentral describes it as "lncRNA (ENSSSCG00070003861.1)". Lineage: Eukaryota; Metazoa; Chordata; Mammalia; Artiodactyla; Suidae. The record is from RNAcentral.